Molecule: ribosomal RNA, 305 nt
Filed under: uncultured bacterium
Lineage: Bacteria
Description: bacterial SSU rRNA
Rfam family: Bacterial small subunit ribosomal RNA
Source: RNAcentral
UGAGGCCUACGGGACGCAGCAGUCGGGAAUAUUGCGCAAUGGAGGAAACUCUGACGCAGUGACGCCCCGUAUAGGAAGAAGGUUUUCGGAUUGUAAACUAUUGUCGUUAGGGAAGAUAAAAGACUGUACCUAAGGAGGAAGCCCCGGCUAACUAUGUGCCAGCAGCCGCGGUAAUACAUAGGGGGCAAGCGUUAUCCGGAAUUAUUGGGUGUAAAGGGUGCGGAGUCGGCAGAACAAGUUGGUUGUGAAAUCCCUCGGCUCAACUGAGGAACUGCAACCGAAACUAUUCGACUUGAGCAUCGGAG